CCUACGUGUGGCAGCAGUGGGGAAUAUUGGGCAAUGGGCGCAAGCCUGACCCAGCAACGCCUCGUGAAGGAAGAAGGCUUUCGGGUUGUAAACUUCUUUUCUCAGGGACGAAGAAAGUGACGGUACCUGAUGAAUAAGCCACGGCUAACUACGUGCCAGCAGCCGCGGUAAGACGUAGGUGGCAAGCGUUAUCCGGAUUUAUUGGGUGUAAAGGGCGUGUAGGCGGGAGCGCAAGUCAGAUGUGAAAACUCAGGUCUCAACCCUGAGCCUGCAUUUGAAACUGUGUUUCUUGAGUGCUGGAGAGGCAAUCGGAAUGCCGGGUGUAGCGGUGAAAUGCGUAGAUAUACGGAGGAACACCAGUGGCGAAGGCGGAUUGCUGGACAGUAACUGACGCUGAGGCGCGAAAGCGUGGGGAGCAAACAGGAUUAGAUACCCGGGUAGUC
RNAcentral lists this ribosomal RNA (443 nucleotides) under uncultured bacterium. RNAcentral describes it as "partial 16S ribosomal RNA". It matches the Rfam family "Bacterial small subunit ribosomal RNA", at positions 338 to 795 of the family's 1533-position model. The record is from RNAcentral.